CGAGGGUCAGGGCCUCGGGCCCCGUGAUCUCAAGGGUCGCGCCGUCGUGCUCGGAGCAGGGACCCUCGUC
RNAcentral lists this transfer RNA (70 nucleotides) under Streptomyces albospinus. Its description in RNAcentral is "tRNA-Leu". Lineage: Bacteria; Bacillati; Actinomycetota; Actinomycetes; Kitasatosporales; Streptomycetaceae. The record is from RNAcentral.